GACGAACGCUGGCGGCGUGCUUAACACAUGCAAGUCGAACGGAAAGGCCCUGCUCUUGUGGGGUGCUCGAGUGGCGAACGGGUGAGUAACACGUGAGUAACCUGCCCUUGACUUUGGGAUAACUUCAGGAAACUGGGGCUAAUACCGGAUAGGAGCUCCUGCUGCACGGUGGUGGUUGGAAAGUUUCGGCUGUUGGGGAUGGACUCGCGGCUUAUCAGCUUGUUGGUGGGGUAGUGGCUUACCAAGGCUUUGACGGGUAGCCGGCCUGAGAGGGUGACCGGGCACAUUGGGACUGAGAUACGGCCCAGACUGCUACGGGAGGCAGCAGUGGGGAAUAUUGCACAAUGGGCGGAAGCCUGAUGUAGAAACGCCGGGUGCGGGAUGACGGCCUUUGGGUUGUAAACCGAUUUGGCCUGUGACGAAGCGGGAUUGACGGUAAUGGGUAAAGAAGCACCGGCUAACUACGUG
RNAcentral lists this ribosomal RNA (468 nucleotides) under uncultured bacterium. RNAcentral describes it as "partial 16S ribosomal RNA". It matches the Rfam family "Bacterial small subunit ribosomal RNA", at positions 28 to 507 of the family's 1533-position model. The record is from RNAcentral.